Molecule: long non-coding RNA, 326 nt
Organism: Syzygium oleosum
Lineage: Eukaryota; Viridiplantae; Streptophyta; Magnoliopsida; Myrtales; Myrtaceae
Exons: 2
Source: RefSeq, a predicted model, not a curated record
CGGCGCUCGGUACGUCGCUCGCUCCGUCUCUACACCGGCGCAGCUUUCCUUCGCCCAUUAAUCUGCUGGGGCGGCCGAGAUCUGGGGAUCCCAUUUUCACUUCAUUCAGGUGGUAGACAGUGGUGAAUUUCGCAUAGUGCUUGUGAUGGUGGUCCAGAAGAACUCCCAGUAGUUCUGGCCGGGCAUUUCUGGACGAACGUGUAGGGAUGAGCUCAACUAUAGUUCCUGACCAGCAUCAUCAGUCCAGCAGCCGAUCCAGCCUCGGUUCUGAUGGGGCUGCAUCUCCUUAUGCAGGAUGUGAAGAUAGCCAUUUUCGUAGAGCAAAA